Molecule: ribosomal RNA, 253 nt
Filed under: uncultured bacterium
Lineage: Bacteria
Description: partial 16S ribosomal RNA
Rfam family: Bacterial small subunit ribosomal RNA
Source: RNAcentral
GACGUAGGGCGCGAGCGUUGUCCGGAUUUAUUGGGCGUAAAGAGCUCGUAGGCGGCUUGUCGCGUCGACCGUGAAAACUCACAGCUCAACUGUGAGCUUGCGGUCGAUACGGGCAGGCUCGAGUUCGGUAGGGGAGACUGGAAUUCCUGGUGUAGCGGUGAAAUGCGCAGAUAUCAGGAGGAACACCGGUGGCGAAGGCGGGUCUCUGGGCCGAUACUGACGCUGAGGGGCGAAAGCGUGGGGAGCGAACAGG